GACGAACGCUGGCGGCGUGCUUAACACAUGCAAGUCGAACGGUAAGGCCCUUCGGGGUACACGAGUGGCGAACGGGUGAGUAACACGUGGGUGAUCUGCCCUGCACUUCGGGAUAAGCCUGGGAAACUGGGUCUAAUACCGGAUAGGACCACUGCCUGCAUGGGUGGUGGUGGAAAGCUUUUGCGGUGUGGGAUGGGCCCGCGGCCUAUCAGCUUGUUGGUGGGGUGAUGGCCUACCAAGGCGACGACGGGUAGCCGGCCUGGGAGAGUGACCGGGCACAGUGGGACUGAGAUACGGCCCAGACUCCUACGGGAGGCAGCAGUGGGGAAUAUUGCACAAUGGGCGCAAGCCUGAUGCAGCGACGCCGCGUGAGGGAUGACGGCCUUCGGGUUGUAAACCUCUUUCAGCACCGACGAAGCGCAAGUGACGGUAGGUGCAGAAGAAGGACCGGCCAACUACGUGCCAGCCGCCGCCGUAA
Molecule: ribosomal RNA, 478 nt
Filed under: uncultured bacterium
Lineage: Bacteria
Description: partial 16S ribosomal RNA
Rfam family: Bacterial small subunit ribosomal RNA
Source: RNAcentral